RNAcentral lists this ribosomal RNA (465 nucleotides) under uncultured bacterium. RNAcentral describes it as "partial 16S ribosomal RNA". It matches the Rfam family "Bacterial small subunit ribosomal RNA", at positions 27 to 506 of the family's 1533-position model. The record is from RNAcentral.
GGACGAACGCUGGCGGCGUGCUUAACACAUGCAAGUCGAGCGAGGCCCCUCCUUCGGGAGGGUGUCCUAGCGGCGAACGGGUGAGUAACACGUGGGCAACCUGCCCUCAGCUCUGGGAUAACUCCGGGAAACCGGGGCUAAUACCGGAUACGACCUCCACGGGCAUCUGCGGAGGUGGAAAGUUUUUCGGCUGAGGAUGGGCCCGCGGCCUAUCAGCUAGUUGGUGGGGUAGUGGCCCACCAAGGCGACGACGGGUAGCCGGCCUGAGAGGGCGACCGGCCACACUGGGACUGAGACACGGCCCAGACUCCUACGGGAGGCAGCAGUGGGGAAUAUUGCGCAAUGGGCGAAAGCCUGACGCAGCGACGCCGCGUGAGGGACGAAGGCCUUCGGGUUGUAAACCUCUUUCAGCAGGGACGAAGCGAAAGUGACGGUACCUGCAGAAGAAGCACCGGCCAACUACGU